RNAcentral lists this unclassified non-coding RNA (383 nucleotides) under uncultured bacterium. RNAcentral describes it as "contains 16S-23S intergenic spacer region". The record is from RNAcentral.
UCCGGCUUGACGCCGGCAGUCCCCCGAGAGUGCCCGGCAUUACCCGCUGGCAACUAAGGGCGAGGGUUGCGCUCGUUGCGGGACUUAACCCAACACCUCACGGCACGAGCUGACGACAGCCAUGCAGCACCUGUGCUGGCUUCCCCUUGCGGGGCUCGUCGCCCUUUCGGGUUUCUACUACCAGCAUGUCAAGCCCAGGUAAGGUUCUUCGCGUUGCGUCGAAUUGAACCACAUGCUCCACCGCUUGUGCGGGCCCCCGUCAAUUUCUUUGAGUUUUAACCUUGCGGCCGUACUCCCCAGGCGGAUAACUUAAUGCGUUAGCUGCGCCACCGAAAGCCUAAGGCCCCCGACAGCUAGUUAUCAUCGUUUACGGCGUGGACUAC